Molecule: ribosomal RNA, 2909 nt
Filed under: Pseudoalteromonas sp. A22
Lineage: Bacteria; Pseudomonadati; Pseudomonadota; Gammaproteobacteria; Alteromonadales; Pseudoalteromonadaceae
Description: 23S ribosomal RNA
Rfam family: Bacterial large subunit ribosomal RNA
Source: RNAcentral
GUUGUAUGGUUAAGUGACUAAGCGUACACGGUGGAUGCCUUGGCAGUUGGAGGCGAUGAAGGACGUACUAACUUGCGAUAAGCCUAGUCAAGCCAGUAAGAGGCGCUUGAGACUAGGAUUUCCGAAUGGGGAAACCCACCUGCUUGCAGGUAUCGUUAACUGAAUACAUAGGUUAACGAGGCGAACGCGGAGAACUGAAACAUCUAAGUACCCGUAGGAAAAGAAAUCAACCGAGAUUCCGAAAGUAGCGGCGAGCGAAAUCGGACCAGCCCUUAAGCUUUAGUGUAGUUAGUGGAACAUGUUGGAAAGCAUGACGAAACAGGGUGAUAGUCCCGUACACAAAAACUUAUCUAAAGUGAAAUCGAGUAGGUCGGAGCACGUGAAACUUUGACUGAAUAUGGGGGGACCAUCCUCCAAGGCUAAAUACUCCCAACUGACCGAUAGUGAACCAGUACCGUGAGGGAAAGGCGAAAAGAACCCCUGUGAGGGGAGUGAAAUAGAACCUGAAACCGUGUACGUACAAGCAGUAGGAGCCUACUUGUUGGGUGACUGCGUACCUUUUGUAUAAUGGGUCAGCGACUUAUAUUCUGUAGCGAGGUUAACCAUUUAGGGGAGCCGUAGCGAAAGCGAGUCUUAACUGGGCGCUUAAGUUGCAGGGUAUAGACCCGAAACCCGGUGAUCUAGCCAUGGGCAGGUUGAAGGUUGAGUAACAUCAACUGGAGGACCGAACCCACUAACGUUGAAAAGUUAGGGGAUGACCUGUGGCUAGGAGUGAAAGGCUAAUCAAACCGGGAGAUAGCUGGUUCUCCCCGAAAUCUAUUUAGGUAGAGCCUCGGACGAAUACUUACGGGGGUAGAGCACUGUUAAGGCUAGGGGGUCAUCCCGACUUACCAACCCUUUGCAAACUCCGAAUACCGUAAAGUAAUAUCCGGGAGACACACGGCGGGUGCUAACGUCCGUCGUGGAGAGGGAAACAACCCAGACCGUCAGCUAAGGUCCCAAAGUGUAUGUUAAGUGGGAAACGAUGUGGGAAGGCUAAAACAGCUAGGAGGUUGGCUUAGAAGCAGCCACCCUUUAAAGAAAGCGUAAUAGCUCACUAGUCGAGUCGGCCUGCGCGGAAGAUGUAACGGGGCUAAACAUACCACCGAAGCUACGGCUGCAGACUUUGUCUGCGGGGUAGGGGAGCGUUCUGUAAGUGGCUGAAGGUGUGCCGGGAGGCAUGCUGGACAUAUCAGAAGUGCGAAUGCUGACAUGAGUAACGACAAGAGGAGUGAAAAACUCCUCCGCCGGAAGACCAAGGGUUCCUAUCCCAUGUUAAUCAGGGUAGGGUGAGUCGACCCCUAAGGCGAGGCUGAAGAGCGUAGUCGAUGGGAAACGGGUUAAUAUUCCCGUACUCGGUAUGAAUGCGAUGGGGGGACGGAGCAGGCUAGGCAAGCAUGGCGUUGGUUGUCCAUGUGAAAGGCUGUAGGCUGGUGACUUAGGAAAAUCCGGGUUGCUAAGGCUGAGAGUCGAGACGAGCCACUAAGGUGGUGAAGUUGUUGAUGCCCUACUUCCAGGAAAAGCCUCUAAGCUUCAGUUCAUACUGAAUCGUACCCUAAACCGACACAGGUGGUCAGGUAGAGAAUACUAAGGCGCUUGAGAGAACUCGGGUGAAGGAACUAGGCAAAAUUGUACCGUAACUUCGGGAGAAGGUACGCUCUUGUUUGUGAAAGACUUGCUCUGUAAGCAAACGAGAGCCGCAGUGACCAGGUGGCUGGGACUGUUUAUUAAAAACACAGCACUGUGCAAAAUCGUAAGAUGACGUAUACGGUGUGACACCUGCCCGGUGCCGGAAGGUUAAUUGAUGGGGUUAGCUUAGGCGAAGCUCUUGAUCGAAGCCCCGGUAAACGGCGGCCGUAACUAUAACGGUCCUAAGGUAGCGAAAUUCCUUGUCGGGUAAGUUCCGACCUGCACGAAUGGUGUAACCAUGGCCACGCUGUCUCCACCCGAGACUCAGUGAAAUUGAAAUCGCAGUGAAGAUGCUGUGUACCCGCGGCUAGACGGAAAGACCCCGUGAACCUUUACUACAGCUUGGCACUGAACAUUGACCCUACAUGUGUAGGAUAGGUGGGAGGCUUUGAAGCAGAGACGCUAGUUUCUGUGGAGCCGACCUUGAAAUACCACCCUUGUAGUGUUGAUGUUCUAACUUAGGCCCCUGAAUCGGGGUUGAGGACAGUGCCUGGUGGGUAGUUUGACUGGGGCGGUCUCCUCCCAAAGAGUAACGGAGGAGCACGAAGGUUUGCUAAGUACGGUCGGACAUCGUACGGUUAGUGUAAUGGUAGAAGCAAGCUUAACUGCGAGACAGACACGUCGAGCAGGUACGAAAGUAGGUCAUAGUGAUCCGGUGGUUCUGAAUGGAAGGGCCAUCGCUCAACGGAUAAAAGGUACUCCGGGGAUAACAGGCUGAUACCGCCCAAGAGUUCAUAUCGACGGCGGUGUUUGGCACCUCGAUGUCGGCUCAUCACAUCCUGGGGCUGAAGUCGGUCCCAAGGGUAUGGCUGUUCGCCAUUUAAAGUGGUACGCGAGCUGGGUUUAGAACGUCGUGAGACAGUUCGGUCCCUAUCUGCCGUGGGCGUUUGAGAAUUGAGAGGGGCUGCUCCUAGUACGAGAGGACCGGAGUGGACGAACCGCUGGUGUUCGGGUUGUGAUGCCAAUUGCAUUGCCCGGUAGCUACGUUCGGAACUGAUAACCGCUGAAAGCAUCUAAGCGGGAAGCAGGCCUCGAGAUGAGUUCUCACUUUGACUUAGAGUCAACUGAAGGGCCGUUGAAGACUACAACGUUGAUAGGCGAGAUGUGGAAGUGCUGUGAGGCAUUAAGCUAACUCGUACUAAUUACCCGUGAGGCUUAACCAUACAACGCCAAAGUGGUUU